Homo sapiens (human) is the source of this 918-nucleotide long non-coding RNA. RefSeq lists it as uncharacterized. The record is from RefSeq and is a predicted model, not a curated record. The transcript is spliced from 3 exons. NCBI's taxonomy places the organism in Eukaryota, Metazoa, Chordata, Mammalia, Primates, Hominidae.
ACACACUACCAGCCCCUCCACCCAGGAACAGCAUCAGCAACCACGCAGAGAGGAGCCCAUUGCUGCUGAAGGUGAGAGGCUGUCCUCUGCCUGCUUUCAGGACUCCUGGUUCUCAGGCUGCUAGACCUGAACUGGAAUCUACAGCCACUGGCUCUCUGGCUUUCAGGUCUUCAAACUACAUCACCAGCUUUCCUGGGCCUGAACCUUGCCAAUGACAGAUUGUGGGACUUCUCAGCCUCCAUAAACAUCCAACAGCAACUGCCCAUUGGAAGCACAUUGGAAUGGCAAUCCAACAUCCAAAAUGGCUGGGAAAGUGAAGUACUUCAGUUAUUGGAAUAUACUAGUUAGCUGACAAUUUCCAUCUGCCAAUAUCACAAGUGAGAGGACUAUUUCUAAACACUUAACACUAAAUUAUACAGAACAAAAUUCCGUCUUCUUUGGACUAUUCAAAUGUCAUUUUGAAAUGGCUGCUGCAUGGCCAGCAGACUGAGGUGAGAGAAAUUUGUAGCUGUAGAGAAUCCUCAUUAAUGCAGUGAGGCCUUCCCUUUCUAGGCAAUUCCUGGAUCUAAGAGAGAUUAACUGAGACUGACACCUUUAAAGGUCUGAAAAGAUAUUUACUGUCUACUCUCUCGGAGCACUGCUCUCUAUGAGGCUUCAUCCAUAUAACAAAGCUACCUUUGCUAGAUCGGCGUCUUCCUUUCUCCCUCUCAUAAUCUGUCUUGCCACUAAACCUGAUUUACCAACAUAACCAGUUUUGGGCUACACUCUGAGCUCACAUUUUUUUCUAUAACCUCAGGAUGGAAUAUAAGAUUCUGUGCCUUAUUGUUGGCUUGGGUCUUUAUUCUGAAGGUUCCUUUGUGUGCAUGUUAAAUAAGUUUGUAUGCCUUUUCUCCUAUUAAAGCAAAAACAAAAACAAAA